GAGUUUGAUCAUGGCUCAGGAUGAACGCUAGCGACAGGCUUAACACAUGCAAGUCGAGGGGCAGCGGGGGAGUAGCAAUACUCCCGCCGGCGACCGGCGCACGGGUGAGUAACACGUAUGAAACCUGCCCGUAGCAGGGGGGGAUAAGCGGAAGAAAUUCCGUCUAAUACCGCGUAACAACCCUUGGAGGCAUCUCCUCGGGUUUAAAGGAAGCGAUUCCGGCUACGGAUGGUCAUGCGUCGCAUUAGCUGGUUGGCGGGGUAACGGCCCACCAAGGCGACGAUGCGUAGGGGUUCUGAGAGGAAGGUCCCCCACACUGGUACUGAGACACGGACCAGACUCCUACGGGAGGCAGCAGUGAGGAAUAUUGGUCAAUGGCCGCAGGGCUGAACCAGCCAAGUCGCGUGAGGGAUGACGGUCCUAUGGAUUGUAAACCUCUUUUGUCAGGGAGCAAAGGGCGCCACGUGUGGCGCUUUGCGAGUACCUGAAGAAAAAGCAUCGGCUAACUCCGUGCCAGCAGCCGCGGUAAUACGGAGGAUGCGAGCGUUAUCCGGAUUUAUUGGGUUUAAAGGGUGCGCAGGCGGAAUGUCAAGUCAGCGGUAAAAUUUCGGGGCUCAACCCCGUCGUGCCGUUGAAACUGGCGUUCUUGAGUGAGCGAGAAGUAUGCGGAAUGCGUGGUGUAGCGGUGAAAUGCAUAGAUAUCACGCAGAACUCCGAUUGCGAAGGCAGCAUACCGGCGCUCAACUGACGCUCAUGCACGAAAGCGUGGGUAUCGAACAGGAUUAGAUACCCUGGUAGUCCACGCAGUAAACGAUGAAUACUAACUGUCCGGGCAGAAUGAUGCCUGGGUGGUACAGCGAAAGCGUUAAGUAUUCCACCUGGGGAGUACGCCGGCAACGGUGAAACUCAAAGGAAUUGACGG
This 922-nucleotide ribosomal RNA is filed under the name uncultured bacterium. RNAcentral describes it as "bacterial SSU rRNA". It matches the Rfam family "Bacterial small subunit ribosomal RNA", at positions 9 to 916 of the family's 1533-position model. The record is from RNAcentral.